This 422-nucleotide ribosomal RNA is filed under the name uncultured microorganism. Its description in RNAcentral is "bacterial SSU rRNA". It matches the Rfam family "Bacterial small subunit ribosomal RNA", at positions 9 to 429 of the family's 1533-position model. The record is from RNAcentral.
GAGUUUGAUCGUGGCUCAGAUUGAACGCUGGCGGCAUGCCUUACACGUGCAAGUCGAACGGCAGCAUGAUCUAGCUUGCUAGAUUGAUGGCGAGUGGCGAACGGGUGAGUAAUACAUCGGAACGUGCCCUGUAGUGGGGGAUAACUAGUCGAAAGAUUAGCUAAUACCGCAUACGACCUGAGGGUGAAAGUGGGGGACCGCAAGGCCUCAUGCUAUAGGAGCGGCCGAUGUCUGAUUAGCUAGUUGGUGGGGUAAAGGCCCACCAAGGCGACGAUCAGUAGCUGGUCUGAGAGGACGAUCAGCCACACUGGGACUGAGACACGGCCCAGACUCCUACGGGAGGCAGCAGUGGGGAAUUUUGGACAAUGGGCGAAAGCCUGAUCCAGCAAUGCCGCGUGUGUGAAGAAGGCCUCGGUUGUAAG